Non-coding RNA from Cricetulus griseus (Chinese hamster), 378 nucleotides. Lineage: Eukaryota; Metazoa; Chordata; Mammalia; Rodentia; Cricetidae. The record is from the annotation of a RefSeq genome assembly.
AGCAUGGAGGAGGGCCUGAGGGGCAUUUUCCUUGUUGCUCUUUUAAAAGGUGUUCAGUGUGAGGUGCAGCUGGUUGAGUCUGGAGGUGGCCUGUUGAAGCCUGCGGGGUCCCUGAAACUCUCCUGUGUAGCCUCUGGCUUCACCUUCAGCGACUACUGGAUGCACUGGGUCCGCCAGGCUCCAGGGAAGGUGCUGGAAUGGGUUGGAAAUAUUAAUAAAGAUGGCAGUACCACAAACUAUGCACCAUCCGUGAAGGGCCGGUUCACCAUCUCCAGAGACAAUGCCAAAAACACUCUGUACAUGCAAAUGAACAGUGUGAAGUCUGAGGACACCGCCACUUAUUACUGUGCUAGACACAGUGAGGAGAUCUCAGUGUGA